AAGAGAACAAAAUCACAAAGUAGAAAUUUUGACAACCAAAACAAUUGAAGGUGAGAAUGGAGGCUAAUCUUCAUGAGUUUCCAAAAGCCUCAGAAAGAAAAAAUCAAAUUAAAUGAAGGAUCACUAAAGUAAUAGGUAAGGCAUUCUAAAUUAGACAAACUAAUAAAGUAUCGAUUCAUGAACUAACCGCUAGGAUUUUAAAAAAAGCAUAUAAAUUAAGACAAGGGUGAUCAGGAACUAACAUUAAUGAUUUUGAAAUAAAAACUAAAAAGGGAUCAAUUCAGGUAAGGAACUAAAAUUAUAGAAGUACCUAAACUAAUUAAAACGAGUUUGACUAAAUUAAACUAAAAACAUGAACUUUCAAACAUAGAAUUAAUUUUACUAAAGAACUAAAACUGUAAAAAGUGCUUAAACUAAUUAAAAUGAGCCAAACUAAAAAUGUCUAAACUAAAUAGAUGAAUUAAAUUAAAUCAUACUAAACUAAAAACACGAACUUUCAAACAUGAGAUCAAUUUUAUUAAAGAACUAAAACUAUAAAAGUAUUUAAACUAAAUAGAUGAAUUAAAUCAAACUAAAAGUAAACUCGAAACAUGAACUUUCAAAUAUAUAAUCAAUUUUAUUAAUGAACUAAAACUAUAAGGGUAACUAAACUAAUUAAAAUGAACCAAAUUAAGUUCAAACAAAUUGAGAAACAUGAAUUUGAUUAGACGAGAUCAAUUAAACUUGUAAACUAGAAUUCGUGAAACACCUAAACUAUAUAGGAUGACUCAAAACCAAGAUUAACAAUUCUAACUUUCAAUCUAAUGGAAUCAAAACAAAUAUAAAGAAAAUUAACUUUCAAACCAAAAAUUAAGAAUAAUAAUAAUAAAUAAAUAAAUAAAUAAAAAAAGCUGACUUACCUUCUCUAAAUGGUGUGUGUGGGCUGCCCAUGGUAAAUCUUGAAGUAGUAGCUUGCUACUUCUUCUCCAAUAUGUGUGGUUGUAUGUGGGACUGUGGAUGAGCCACUAAUAUUCAUGGUAGCAAGUGAUCCUCCAUGUGCAUGUGUAUCAUCUCUGAUCGGCAAUGUGUGAAGACCUUUCUCUCUUUAGGAUGCAAUGUG
This 1099-nucleotide long non-coding RNA is filed under the name Vitis vinifera (wine grape). Its description in RNAcentral is "long non-coding RNA (VVIN_LNC001864)". Lineage: Eukaryota; Viridiplantae; Streptophyta; Magnoliopsida; Vitales; Vitaceae. The record is from RNAcentral.